RNAcentral lists this ribosomal RNA (427 nucleotides) under uncultured bacterium. RNAcentral describes it as "bacterial SSU rRNA". It matches the Rfam family "Bacterial small subunit ribosomal RNA", at positions 355 to 774 of the family's 1533-position model. The record is from RNAcentral.
UGGGGAAUCUUGCGCAAUGGUCGAAAGGCUGACGCAGCGACGCCGCGUGGAGGACGAAGGCCUUCGGGUUGUAAACUCCUUUUCUGGGGGACGAAUAAGGUAAGUAGGUAAUGGCUUACCGAUGACGGUACCCCAGGAACAAGCGCCGGCUAACUUCGUGCCAGCAGCCGCGGUAAGACGAAGGGCGCAAGCGUUAUCCGGAAUCACUGGGCGUAAAGGGCGUCUAGGCGGUCGGUCAAGUCGACCGUGAAAGUCCUCGGCUAAACUGAGGAAAGUCGGCCGAAACUGAUCGACUCGAGGAACGUAGAGGGAAGCGGAACUCUCGGAGUAGCGGUGAAAUGCGUAGAGACCGAGAGGUACCCCGAUGGUGAAGACAGCUUCCUGGGCGUUUCCUGACGCUGAAGCGCUAAGGCCAGGGGAGCGAAGG